UACAGAGGCCACAAGCGUUAUCCGGAAUCAUUGGGCGUAAAGCGUCCGCAGGUGGCUCAUCGCAUCUUUGGUAAAAUCCCACGGCCUAACCGUGGAACCGCCAAAGAGAUGGAUGAGCUUGAGGCAGGGAGAGGUAAGCGGAACUUCUGGUGGAGCGGUGAAAUGCGUUGAUAUCAGAGGGAACACCAAUUGCGAAGGCAGCUUACUGGUCCUGUCCUGACACUCAGGGACGACAGCGUGGGGAGCGAAUGGG
RNAcentral lists this ribosomal RNA (253 nucleotides) under uncultured bacterium. Its description in RNAcentral is "partial 16S ribosomal RNA". It matches the Rfam family "Bacterial small subunit ribosomal RNA", at positions 524 to 776 of the family's 1533-position model. The record is from RNAcentral.